UCAGGCCUAACACAUGCAAGUCGAGCGAUGAAGCACCUUCGGGUGUGGAUUAGCGGCGAACGGGUGAGGAACACGUGAGGAAUCUGCCUUCCACUCUGGGAUAACUCCGGGAAACCGGGGCUAAUACCGGAUACUUUCAACUGGCGGCAUCGCCGGUUGAAGAAAGUUUUUCGGUGGAAGAUGACCUCGCGGCCUAUCAGCUUGUUGGUGAGGUAAUGGCUCACCAAGGCGACGACGGGUAGCCGGCCUGAGAGGGCGGCCGGCCACACUGGGACUGAGACACGGCCCAGACUCCUACGGGAGGCAGCAGUGGGGAAUAUUGGGCAAUGGAGGAAACUCUGACCCAGCGACGCCGCGUGAGGGA
RNAcentral lists this ribosomal RNA (364 nucleotides) under uncultured bacterium. Its description in RNAcentral is "bacterial SSU rRNA". It matches the Rfam family "Bacterial small subunit ribosomal RNA", at positions 42 to 408 of the family's 1533-position model. The record is from RNAcentral.